RNAcentral lists this ribosomal RNA (490 nucleotides) under uncultured bacterium. RNAcentral describes it as "partial 16S ribosomal RNA". It matches the Rfam family "Bacterial small subunit ribosomal RNA", at positions 30 to 507 of the family's 1533-position model. The record is from RNAcentral.
AUUGAACGCUGGCGGCAGGCCUAACACAUGCCAGUCGAACGGUAACAGGAAGCAGCUUGCUGCUUCGCUGACGAGUGGCGGACGGGUGAGUAAUGUCUGGGAAGCUGCCUGAUGGAGGGGGAUAACUACUGGAAACGGUAGCUAAUACCGCAUAAUGUCGCAAGACCAAAGAGGGGGACCUUCGGGCCUCUUGCCAUCGGAUGUGCCCAGAUGGGAUUAGCUUGUUGGUGGGGUAACGGCUCAUCAAGGCGACGAUCCCUAGCUGGUCUGAGAGGAUGACCAGCCACACUGGAACUGAGACACGGUCCAGACUCCUACGGGAGGCAGCAGUGGGGAAUAUUGCACAAUGGGCGCAAGCCUGAUGCAGCCAUGCCGCGUGUAUGAAGAAGGCCUUCGGGUUGUAAAGUACUUUCAGCGGGGAGGAAGGGAGUAAAGUUAAUACCUUUGCUCAUUGACGUUACCCGCAGAAGAAGCACCGGCUAACUCCGUG